GUGUUGGAUCAUUCUUUUUUUCGGUUUUUCUCUAUUUGUUUUGUUAAAAAUGUAUGACUAUAUAACUUUUAGAUUGUGAGGCCAAACUUCGCAUGUGAUACCUUUUCGGAAAGCCCAAAGAGAGCUCUCCAAUGAAUGAGGAAGGAAAUUGGAAUUCUUCUAUUGGUUUUUAUUUCUACUCCAAAUUUUGACCUUAAUGUACUUUUUCGGGCCUUUUCGUGAUCUUCGCUAUAUUACGGGGCGAAACUUAUACGUUUAGACAUUGUAUUCGAAUAUUUUGCAUGUAUCAAAGCUCUUAUAAACAAGAUAGGGUAUUCCUACAUAGCUGGUGGGACCCACGGCAAAUGGAUCAUAAAGUCUUCAAAAAAGAAUAGAUACGAUUGCAUUGCAUGUAGUAACAGAUACGAUUGCAUUGCAUGUAGUAACAGAUACGAUUGCAUUGCAUGUAGUAACAGAUGCGAUCAUACCAGCACUAAUGCACCGGAUCCCAUCAGAACUCUGCAGUUAAGCGUGAUUGGGCGAGAGUACUACUAGGAUGGUUGACCUCCUGGAAAGUCCUUGUGUUAAAUUCUUCUUUUUUUCGGUUUUUCUCUUUUUUUUUUGUUAAGAAUGUAUGAUUCUAUAAGUUUUAGACCGUGAGGCCAAACUUGGCAUGUGAUACCUUUUCGGAAAGCCCAAAGAGAACUCUCCGAUGAAUGAGGAAGGACAAUGGAAUUUUUCUAUUGUUUAUUUUU
RNAcentral lists this small RNA (734 nucleotides) under Arabidopsis thaliana (thale cress). Lineage: Eukaryota; Viridiplantae; Streptophyta; Magnoliopsida; Brassicales; Brassicaceae. The record is from RNAcentral.